This 403-nucleotide ribosomal RNA is filed under the name uncultured bacterium. RNAcentral's name for it is "partial 16S ribosomal RNA". It matches the Rfam family "Bacterial small subunit ribosomal RNA", at positions 30 to 526 of the family's 1533-position model. The record is from RNAcentral.
AUUGAACGCUAGCGGCAUGCCUCACACAUGCAAGUCGAACGAGCAGCGGGCGGGUAAGUUAUGUGUGGGGACUGCCCGAUGGAGGGGGAUAACUGCUGGAAACGGUAACUAAUACCGCAUCCUAUCGGCUAACCCCUAUGGGAUUAGCUAGUGGGUGAGGUACUGGCUCACCUCGGCGACGAUCCCUAGCUGGUUUGAGAGGAUGAUCAGCCACAUGGGGACUGAGACACGGCCCAGACUCCUACGGAGGCAGCAGUGGGGAAUAUGGCACAAUGGGCGCAAGCCUGAUGCAGCCAUGCCGCGUGUAGGAAGAAGGCCUUAGGGUUGUAAAGUACUUUCAGCAGGGAGGCGUUACCGACAGAAGAAGCACCGGCUAACUCCGUGCCAGCAGCCGCGGUAAUAC